Molecule: ribosomal RNA, 447 nt
Filed under: uncultured bacterium
Lineage: Bacteria
Description: bacterial SSU rRNA
Rfam family: Bacterial small subunit ribosomal RNA
Source: RNAcentral
UGGGGAAUAUUGGACAAUGGGCGAAAGCCUGAUCCAGCCAUGCCGCGUGAGUGAUGAAGGCCUUAGGGUUGUAAAGCUCUUUUACCAGGGAUGAUAAUGACAGUACCUGGAGAAUAAGCUCCGGCUAACUCCGUGCCAGCAGCCGCGGUAAUACGGAGGGAGCUAGCGUUGUUCGGAAUUACUGGGCGUAAAGCGUACGUAGGCGGUGACUCAAGUCAGAGGUGAAAGCCUGGAGCUCAACUCCAGAACUGCCUUUGAAACUAGGUCGCUAGAAUCACGGAGAGGUGAGUGGAAUUCCGAGUGUAGAGGUGAAAUUCGUAGAUAUUCGGAAGAACACCAGUGGCGAAGGCGGCUCACUGGACGUGUAUUGACGCUGAGGUACGAAAGCGUGGGGAGCAAACAGGAUUAGAUACCCGGGUAGUCCCUGAGCGGGCUGGCAAGGCGCAU